This 326-nucleotide long non-coding RNA is filed under the name Homo sapiens (human). RNAcentral describes it as "HSALNT0158592". The record is from RNAcentral. Lineage: Eukaryota; Metazoa; Chordata; Mammalia; Primates; Hominidae.
GCAGGUGGAGGAGGCGCCCAGGGCGGCAGGUGCUGGGGCGCUCACCUGGGGGACAGCGGUGACGAAAACGCCAGUGUUUUAGAGGCAAACGAGGGAUCUGGGAUACGACAUUGACAGGGAAAAGCCUGAAAUUUUGGCAUGGCCAACUCAGAGUGUGGAGUCAACGCAGGCAUCUAAUCUUAAUUGUGAUCUAAAGUAAUUCAAAUAAUGGAGGAACAGUUUCUUCGGACAAAGGCAGCAGUAAGCUAAAAACAAAAUCAACUGGCUGAAUUUUCCUUCUUUACCUGAAAAACAAAGUACAGAACAGGCUGUAACAGCUCCUCAGA